RNAcentral lists this ribosomal RNA (368 nucleotides) under uncultured bacterium. Its description in RNAcentral is "bacterial SSU rRNA". It matches the Rfam family "Bacterial small subunit ribosomal RNA", at positions 149 to 507 of the family's 1533-position model. The record is from RNAcentral.
GAGAAAAUUUUGGAUUAAUACCUCAUAGUAUGUGAGAAUCGCAUGGUUUUCACAUUAAAGUUCCAACGGCAAAAGAUGAGCAUGCGUCCCAUUAGCUAGUUGGUAAGGUAACGGCUUACCAAGGCGACGAUGGGUAGGGGUCCUGAGAGGGAGAUCCCCCACACUGGUACUGAGACACGGACCAGACUCCUACGGGAGGCAGCAGUGAGGAAUAUUGGACAAUGGGCGCAAGCCUGAUCCAGCAAUGCCGCGUGCAGGAAGAAGGCCUUCGGGUUAGUAAACUGUCUUUUGUACGGAACGAAACGGUCUGGGCUAAUACCCCGGGGCUAAUGACGGUACCGUAAGAAUAAGCACCGGCUAACUACGUG